This 1492-nucleotide ribosomal RNA is filed under the name uncultured Bordetella sp. RNAcentral describes it as "partial 16S-23S ribosomal RNA intergenic spacer". It matches the Rfam family "Bacterial small subunit ribosomal RNA". Lineage: Bacteria; Pseudomonadati; Pseudomonadota; Betaproteobacteria; Burkholderiales; Alcaligenaceae. The record is from RNAcentral.
CUGUAUAUACUUCAGGUAGUAACAGAGAGUUCGAUUAUGGCUCAGAUUGAACGCUGGCGGGAUGCUUUACACAUGCAAGUCGAACGGCAGCACGGACUGGUCUGCGGGUUAGAGUGGAAAGAACUGGCGGAGUAGUGUAUCGAACGUGCUCAGAAGGGGAGUAACUACGCGAAAGCGUAGCUAAUACCGCAUACGCUGCCCUUCGGGGGAAAGCGGGGGACUCGGGCCUCGCACUAUUAGAGCGGCCGAUAUCGGAUUAGCUAGUUGGUGGGGUAACGGCUCACCAAGGCGACGAUCCAGAAGCGGUUUUGAGAGGACGACCAGCCAUACCGACCAGACGGCCCAGACUCUGCCGGGAGUGCGGUGCAGUGGGGAAUUUUGACAAUGGGGGAAAACCCCUGAUCCAGCCAUCCCGCGUGUGCGAUGAAGGCCUUCGGGUUGUAAAAGCACUUUUGGCAGGAAAGAAACGGCACGGAUAAUACCCCGUAACCGACGGGUAUUCUGGUAAUAAGGUACCGGCUAGACCACGCAGCAGCCGCGGUAAUACGUAGGGUGCAAGCGUUAGACCGGAAUACAUUGGGCGUAAAGCGCAGCAGGCGGUUCGGAAAGAAAAAGAUGCGGAAAUCCCAGAGCUUAACUUUGGAACUGCAUUUUUAACUACCGAGCUAGAGUGUGUCAGAGGGAGGGUGGAGAAUUCCGCGUAGCAGUGAAAUGCAGAUAUGCGGAGGAACACCGAUGGCGAAGGCUUCUGAUAAUAUUUGACGCUCAUGCACGAAAGCGGGAGCAAACAGGAUUAUUACCCUGGCAGUCCACGCCCAACGACGUCGGUCCAGCUGUUGGGGCCUUCGUAUUCGGUAGCAGCCAACGCGUGAAGUUGACCGCCUGGGGAGUAAUGGUCAGCAAGAUUAAAACUCAAAGGAAUUCGAAUGGGACCCGCACAAGCGGUGGAGUGAUGGAUUAUCUGAUGCAUCACAAACCUUACCUACCCUUGACAUGUCUGGAAUCCCGAAGAGAUUUGGAAGUGCUCUUCGGUAAGAGAACCGGAACGACAGGUGGGCAUGACGUCGUCACGCUCGGUGUCGUGAGAGCGUUGAAGAGUCCCCAACGAGCGCAACCUUCUUGUCAUUAGUUGCCACAGCAAGUACCGACGAGACUGCCGGCAGACAAACCAGGGAAGGUGGGGAUGACGUCAAGUCCUCAUGGCCCUUAUGGGAAUACACGUCAUACAAUGGUCGGGAUAGAGGGUCGCCAACUCACAGGGGAGCCAAUCCCAGGAAACCGAUCGGCGUCCAUGGAUCGUGAAUCUUGCAACCUGACUGGUGCGAAGUCGGAAUCGCUAGUAACGCGGAUCAGCAUGUCGCGGUGAAUACGUUCCCGGGUCUUGUACACACCGCCCGUCGAAUUGGCGGAGUGGGUUUUACCAGAAGUAGUUAGCCUAACCGUAAGGAGGGCGAUUACCACGGUAGAUUCGAUGAUCAGCAGUCGUAACAUA